RNAcentral lists this ribosomal RNA (243 nucleotides) under uncultured bacterium. Its description in RNAcentral is "partial 16S ribosomal RNA". It matches the Rfam family "Bacterial small subunit ribosomal RNA", at positions 91 to 334 of the family's 1533-position model. The record is from RNAcentral.
CGGACCGGCGCACGGGUGAGUAACGCGUAUGCAACUUACCUAUCAGAGGGGGAUAACCCGGCGAAAGUCGGACUAAUACCGCAUGAAGCAGGGGCCCGCAUGGGGAUAUUUGCUAAAGAUUCAUCGCUGAUAGAUAGGCAUGCGUUCCAUUAGGCAGUUGGCGGGGUAACGGCCCACCAAACCGACGAUGGAUAGGGGUUCUGAGAGGAAGGUCCCCCACAUUGGUACUGAGACACGGACCAA